Molecule: long non-coding RNA, 466 nt
Organism: Seriola aureovittata
Lineage: Eukaryota; Metazoa; Chordata; Actinopteri; Carangiformes; Carangidae
Exons: 4
Source: RefSeq, a predicted model, not a curated record
CUUCCGGGGCAGAGCGGAAAUGAUUUUUUUUUUCUUGAAAAAACUAACAAACAGGCAGUGAAGCUAAAUUGUACUUUUAGGGAAACUUAAUUUUCCAAAAUUCCAAAUUGUUUUCUGUGUUUUUUUUCUUCUUUCCUUUCGCCUUCGUAUUUUACUACAAACAGAGGACCAAGGAAUCAGAAAAAACUGAGUGAAUUAACCAACUUUACGAGGGAAUGUGACUUGAUAUGGAUCCCACCUUAUCUCUGGUGUUUUGGUGGAAACAAGUCUUAAUGGCUGCCGCUAGAUGUCACUGAUGCCCUUGUUCCACAAAAACUGCAGCGGGAAGGCCAUCAUGAGGAGAGGUUUGUAACUCAUGAGACAGAUGAGGGAUGAAUAUGUGAACGUACUGGAUCCGUCCUGCGUUCGUCCCAGCCAUUUCCCCUCCGGGUUGCCCUGUACACGGAUGAUGUCCACGCAGUCUCCC